UGAAUACGAGACGCUACGGCGUCGAAGCAGUCUAUGUCAUACUUCCAAGAAAAGCUUGCACUGUCAUAAACAAAUAAUGCCUGUACCAUAACCGACACAGGUGGGUAGGUAGAGUAUACUAAGGGGCGCGAGAUAACUCUCUCUAAGGAACUCGGCAAAAUGACUCCGUAACUUCGGGAGAAGGAGUGCCUUAUUUAUAAGGUUGCAAUAACAAGAUCCAAGCAACUGUUUAUCAAAAACACAGGUCUCCGCUAAGUCGUAAGACGAUGUAUGGGGGCUGACGCCUGCCCAGUGCCAGAAGGUUAAAGAAGUUGGUUAGCAUUAGCGAAGCUGAUAACUGAAGCCCUGGUGAACGGCGGCCGUAACAAUAACGGUCCUAAGGUAGCGAAAUUCCUUGUCGGGUAAGUUCCGACCCGCACGAAAGGCGUAAUGAUUUGGAUACUGUCUCGGAGAGGGGCUCGGUGAAAUAGACUUGUCUGUGAAGAUGCGGACUACCUGCACCUGGACAGAAAGACCCUAUGAAGCUUUACUGUAACCUGAAAUUGAAAUUGGACUUUAUUUGCGCAGUAUAGGUGGGAGGCGUUGAGAAUAUUCUUGCGGGAAUAUUGGAGCCAUCAGUGAGAUACCACUCUUGUAAUGUUAGAUUUCUAACUUUGAAUCAUUAUCUGGUCAAAGAACAGUUUCAGGCGGGCAGUUUGACUGGGGCGGUCGCCUCCUAAAUGGUAACGGAGGCGCACAAAGGUUUCCUCUGAACGGGUAGAAAUCGUAUCUAGAGUGUAAAGGCAUAAGGAAGCUUGACUGUGAGACCUACAAGUCGAGCAGGGACGAAAGUCGGUCUUAGUGAUCUGACGGUGCUGAGUGGAAAGGCCGUCACUCAACGGAUAAAAGUUACUCUAGGAUAACAGGCUGAUCUCCCCCAAGAGUUCACAUCGACGGGGAGGUUUGGCACCUUGAUGUCGGCUCAUCGCAUCCUGGGGCGGUAGUACGUCCCAAGGGUUGGGCUGUUCGCCCAUGAAAGCGGUACGCGAGCUGGGUUCAGAACGUCGUGAGACAGUUCGGUCCAUAUCCGGUGUAGGCGUUAGAAUAUUGAGAGGAGCCUUCUUUAGUACGAGAGGACCGAAAAGGACAUACCUCUGGUGUACCAGUUAUCGUGCCAACGGUAAACGCUGGGUAGCUAUGUAUGGAGAGGAUAACCGCUGAAAGCAUCUAAGUGGGAAGCCCCACCUCAAGAUAAG
RNAcentral lists this ribosomal RNA (1235 nucleotides) under metagenome. Its description in RNAcentral is "bacterial LSU rRNA". It matches the Rfam family "Bacterial large subunit ribosomal RNA", at positions 1564 to 2808 of the family's 2925-position model. The record is from RNAcentral.